AAUCAUUCAUGAGUCAUCACGAUGGAUCGCUGACCUAUCGAUUGUAUUGGGACCAAAAUUCUUUUUUCAAAAGUCAAGCUUAGGUUAUGAACGAUGGUACCUGAUCACCGAUCGAUCGCAUUUUAACCAAUCAUUUUUCAAAUUUUGGGCCCCACUUUCUUCGCCCACUGGUAUUCUAACCCCUCACCUAAUGCCUAAACCUUUUUUUUUUCUUACAUUUUAUUUCUUCCUUCUUUCUUUCUUUUUAUUUUCUUUCUUUUCUCCCUCUUCUUUCUUUUCUCUUUCACUUCGCCUCCAUCUUUAUCUCUCUUCCCUCUUCACCGAAUCACAAACCCUAGCCCCCACCUACUCUCCCCUCUCACCUUCUCUUUCUCCCUCAUCCCUCAUCUCUCAUCUCUCAUCUCUCCCCCGUCUCUGUCAACCACCACCGGAGCAGUAAAACCCUCCCCCCUGCGAUUUUCGGCGCCAUCUUAGGCCGCCGUGUUCUCUCUCUUCCGGCGAGCUCUUGGCCUCAUCAGCCGAGCUCCUUCUUCAUCGCGGUCUGUAUUUCAUCUCGGGUUUUCUCUCUUCCUUAUCUCCGGCCAUUUUAUGGCCAAGGAGAAGCGAUUAUCGCCCUCGGCAGCUCUCUGCAAUUUCCGGUCAUCUUCAGUCAUCUUCUCCGGCCACUGUUUCACUUAAAUCUUCCCGAGUCUCUCUCUCUGUUUUUCUCAUCUCUUUCUCGGGACUAUGAAAGGAGGAUGGGAUUCUGUAAUUUGGAGUUUGGGCUUUGAAUGGAGAUUGUUUGCUAUUUUUGUGUUGGAGAUUGGGCUGUGAUUGGAUUGAUAUAUAUGCGUGGUUUUGUGUUUGAAAAUUCUGUGAGUUGAGAAUUGAAACUGUGACUGUUAUUGCCUAUUUGUGAAGUGAUUGUUGAAAAUUCUCAAAAGGGUUGUGGUUUUGAAAAUGUUGCAAAUUUCUUGAAAGUUUUUGUAAUCUCUAAAAAUGGAAAUUGGAAUGGAAUUUGUUAAAUGAAGUGAAGUUUGUUCCUAAUUUGUUUGUUGCACUUAAAUUGUUAAAAAUGGAUAUUGGAAUUGAAAAUUUGAAUUGUGAAUGGAAAUGAUAUUGUUUAGAGAAAGCAUGUUGAAAUUUUGAAAGUAAGUUGAAAAAUACUUGGAACUUGUUUGGCAUUGUAAGUUGGCAAUUUUAGAGUAUGUCCCCAACUUCAUUUAAUUUGAUUAAAGCCUAAGUGUGGAAUUGCGUAGAUGAUUGUUCUAAGUUGUUUAAUGCUUGAAUGUUGUGACUUGAAGUUAAAAAUUUGUUUUUUCUAAACUUGAAAAUGAAGUGUCAAGUCUAUAAACAUGCAAGUGUUGUGAGAUGGAACUUUUUGCAAUGUUUUGAUCUUAAGAUAUAUGCUCAUGAUUGAGCUGAAAUUCUGGAAUAUGAUCUUUGAAAAAUUGGAAAUCUCAUUUGUGCACAAUUUGUUGGUUUUCAAAAGUUGAAAUUUAGUUUCGGACUUUAAAUUUGAAAUGUGAAGUUGAGUUUUUAAAUUCCUUCAAUUGUUGAGUGAUUCAGUGCAUGAUUCUUGUGAGAAUUCUUAUCUACAAUGCAUGUGAAAGUUACAACUCCAAAGUCUCUAAAAAUUUCAUUUUUGAAACCAAGUGUUGAAAUUUUUCAAAAAAUAAAAAUAAAAAAAAAAAUUCCAAAGUGUCCUUAAAUGAGAUGAAUUUGUUCCAUUUGCUUCAUUCUUCAUCCAAAUGCAUGUUUUGAGCGCCAUUGAGUAUAUUCGUAUCAAAUUCUUGAUUCUUGCCAAGUGAGGGCCUCUUAUGAUAUCUUGUGAGCUCAUUUGAUGUGAACUUGAAAUUUUCUUGAAAAUUGUGAUGAAAUGUCAACUUGAACCCAACUUGUUGAAGUCAAAUGCUAUGAUGUUGCAAAUAGAGUUAAAUUGACCCAAUGUGAUUUUUUUUGAGUAAGUGUUGUGAUUUUUAGAAUAAAAUGCAAGUUUCAAGUUUGCAUUUUGGCAGGCGCCCGCCAAUUUUGGCAUCCGCCCGCAGUGUCAGCAUAGCGGGUGCCCGCUGCACUUGGCGCUCGCUAGCAAUGCUCAUUCCAACUUGACUUUUGGCAGCCUUGUCUUUCGUUUUGCUUCGGCUAUAACUUUUUUGUUCAGACUCCGAAUCAUGUGAUUCUUGAGUCUAUCCUUAUUUAUUUUUCGUUGUUUAUCCAAUGGUGUGCACUGUGGCACUCAUUUCUGUUUGAAAUUACCAUUUUGCCCUUAGUCCAUUUCUUGGAGGGUUUUGAAAUCCUAACUUCCAUCUCGCUUCCGUUGAGUUAUGGGACUCCUCGGAAGGCCACUUUGACGUCCUAAGGACAAUGUCCAUCUCUAGAAAUCUUGUUCCCUUUUCGCUCCCACAUUCCGAAUCCGUUAUUGGGUCAACUUUCGGGUUAUCACAAAUGUACCGUGUUUGUAAAACUUAUACCGUCACAGAAGAAUUUUAACAAAUGAAAUAUUGUGAAUAUAAAAUAAACAAACAUGAUUUUGGUAAUAUAAUAAUAUGCAUAAGAAAAUGAAGUUUUUCUAAUAUAUUUUUUUUAAUGGAAGUGAGACAGAUAUAUUCUACAUUACUUUUAUCUUGUUACGGAAAAUAUUUUCAAUGACGAAGGAUUGAUGGUCUUACGGUCCACGAGACAUAUAUCCUUACCUCGAGUUAAUGUAAUUUCGUGCAUGCAAACUUCAUCUUUUAAUAAUAAUAAUAAAAAAAAUAAAAAAAAAACUUUGACCAAAAAAAAAAUAAAUAAAUAAAUAAAAGGCAUGCUUAAUAAAGUAGAUAAUAAAAGAAAGUAUAAAUAAGGAAGUAUAAAUAAGCUGUGUGGAUAUUACUAAUCAAUAAUAGGUUACCUUAUAAAAGCUGAAAUAUCCAUAAGCAUCAUAUAAAAUUCAUUUUUAUCUUUAUUUUCUUUUCUUAGAUUGUGCCUUGGUAAAGAUUAAUUAAAUGCUUGGAAGUAUACGGUGAGAAUCCAAUAAAUACUUAGAAGCAGAUUGUGCAACACUUUCCUUUUCGAUGUUAUAUUGAUAAUAAGCAAUUUGACGUUGAUCAAAUUUUCAUCGGCACACUAAAUCAAUUUCGCAUUGAUAACAAGCAAUGCGUGCAAAUUCUCCCCCUUUGCUUGUUUAAUAUUAUUUUGGUCCCACCAAUGUAAAAGUAAAGUAAUAACAUCCACGGUGUUGAUAGUUAAUUCUAUCAUGACUAUACCCACGACCAUGUUUAUGAUCGUGAAAUGAACAGAUUUCACUUUAGAAAUCGUUUUCGAUCUAGUGGGACUAGUAAUAUCAUAAUAAAAGCUCAUAAUUUUACUCUGCCCACUACAACAGUUAUGUUUUUUACCAGCGUUCAGAAAUGCUCGUGAAAGACU
Cornus florida is the source of this 3384-nucleotide long non-coding RNA. RefSeq lists it as uncharacterized. The transcript has 2 exons. The record is from RefSeq and is a predicted model, not a curated record. NCBI's taxonomy places the organism in Eukaryota, Viridiplantae, Streptophyta, Magnoliopsida, Cornales, Cornaceae.